UUGAAACGCCGGUUCCCAUAAUAUCAGCGAAGUUAAGUAACGUUGAGCUGGGUCAGUACCAAGAUGGGUGACCGCUCGAGAAGAUCAGGUGCUGUAAG
Non-coding RNA from Acanthosepion pharaonis, 98 nucleotides. NCBI's taxonomy places the organism in Eukaryota, Metazoa, Mollusca, Cephalopoda, Sepiida, Sepiidae. The record is from the annotation of a GenBank genome assembly.